ACGAACGCUGGCGGCAUGCCUAACACCUGCAAGUCGAACGAGACCUUCGGGUCUAGUGGCGCACGGGUGCGUAACGCGUGGGAACCUGCCUUAGGUUCGGAAUAACUCCCCGAAAGGGGUGCUAAUACCGGAUAAUGUCUUCGGACCAAAGAUUUAUCGCCUUUGGAUGGGCCCGCGUUGGAUUAGCUAGUUGGUAGGGUAAAAGCCUACCAAGGCGACGAUCCAUAGCUGGUCUGAGAGGAUGAUCAGCCACACUGGGACUGAGACACGGCCCAGACUCCUACGGGAGGCAGCAGUGGGGAAUAUUGGACAAUGGGCGAAAGCCUGAUCCAGCAAUGCCGCGUGAGUGAUGAAGGCCUUAGGGUUGUAAAGCUCUUUUACCCGGGAUGAUAAUGACAGUACCGGGAGAAUAAGCUCCGGCUAACUCCGUG
RNAcentral lists this ribosomal RNA (431 nucleotides) under uncultured bacterium. Its description in RNAcentral is "partial 16S ribosomal RNA". It matches the Rfam family "Bacterial small subunit ribosomal RNA", at positions 29 to 507 of the family's 1533-position model. The record is from RNAcentral.